UCAGAUGAUUAUAUAAAAGUAUAAUGUGCCCGUGUCACCAACGGAUGAUCGAGAUGGUAUGUCCGGUAUCACUUUAAAUGUUCACAACUCUCAGGAUGGCGUAUUUCUGCCUGCCGCUUAUUUCCUGCUUGACCUUGUGAACUCGUCCGUGUGACCCGGAAAAAUCACUUCCAAUUCUCAUAUUUUAUUUUGAUAUGCCUGGGCUUGUUAUGUAUUACCCAGACAGGAUGUGACAUCACCGGGUCCAAACGUCAGGACGGGCUACCUAGGAUGUCCAGAACCCGUGCUGCUGGAGGAUGCUUCCUCGCAGCGGGGUCCAGUGAAGUGAUGCUCGCUGGAGGAUGUAGGAGUGAACCAAGCAGGCGAGACAGAGGCACAGGAGACUGAAAAUCUCUAUUUCCUCUGCUUCCUGGUUUGAGUAUGACCCCUCACCUGGCUUGUGACCCUUCAACUGGAUAUCACUCCUAAGAGUUGGCUCUGGGGCCGGCUACUCCUGUUGAACCACAGUGUUAGACCAGCACCCUGUCUACAACAUCACAGCCAGUCAACACUGGGGCUGUGACUACUGGCAUGACUGGUACCAGUGUGGCCCAGACUCCUCUCCUCCAUACCCAGACUGUAGCAGCUGAUCCCCCCAUCGCCACCAGGGGCACCUGGCUCCCCUCCCUCCUCUGGCUGGAUCAAUGACUAGAGCCAUCCCAUCCCAGGGACCAGGGGUCAGCAUCAAAAGCCCCCUGCCCACAUCCUUGCCACCUGGUGCUCUCUUUAGGACGAGGGGGUACACUUCCACCCCUCCACCCUCCUCCUGAACAGACCAGGCUGUUUGGACAUGGAGCCAGAACAGGGCCUUCGUGUGAUCUCCCGCGCCCCCUCCCCAGCCGCCCCCCACAGGGAGAGGGCCAGGGGUCAACCCCAUCAGACCACCACACGGCUCACAGAGCCAUUUGAUGAGGGAAUCUGUUUUGGAUUUCAUAAUGCCCGCUGAAUCAUGAUCCUGAGCCCUACUCAACUUGGUUAAAUGUGUAAUCUGUUUGUCAAAAGCUUCAUGUUGUAAAAACAUUUGUUUUCAGGGAUUUAUGGAUGUGAAGUUGACCUGGUCAAUUAAGGUUUGUAGAUGACUGUUUUCCUGAUUUGAACAUACAGUACAUAUACAACAAUACUCACUUGACUUAAUUACUGGUUCAAAUGAACAUAUCAACAACAUACUGUUAGUUAUGAUACUGUUUAUUAGGUCAUUAAGUAAUUGCGGCAUGUAUGACACCAUAUUGACAGUUAUGAUAAUUAAUCUGACAUGUUUCUGACUGAUCACAACAGGCUUCCAUUUCACUAACUCCUACAUAAUAAUGUAUGAUGUGUCACUACCUCACAGAUUCCUACCAAUGAAAAACUGGACAUGCAGUAUAAACAAUAUUCUGCCACUCUUGAAGGACAAUAGAAGUUAAAUAUAUGAGAAUAUGUUGUUAAAAAGAAUACCUUUUUGACAUUGAUGCCUUCGAUCCAGUGUUAGACUUCACUGACUCAUGGAAGUAUUUUAUGGUCAUUAAACUUUGAUACAACAUACCCAA
This is a long non-coding RNA of Oncorhynchus masou masou (cherry salmon), 1565 nucleotides long. RefSeq lists it as uncharacterized. The transcript has 3 exons. The record is from RefSeq and is a predicted model, not a curated record. Lineage: Eukaryota; Metazoa; Chordata; Actinopteri; Salmoniformes; Salmonidae.